GACGAACGCUGGCGGCGUGCUUAACACAUGCAAGUCGAACGGAAAGGCCCUGCUUUUGUGGGGUGCUCUAGUGGCGAACGGGUGAGUAACACGUGAGUAACCUGCCCUUUACUUUGGGAUAACUUCAGGAAACUGGGGCUAAUACCGGAUAGUAGCUCCUGCUGCAUGGUGGGGGUUGGAAAGUUUCGGCGGUUGGGGAUGGACUCGCGGCUUAUCAGCUUGUUGGUGGGGUAGUGGCUUACCAAGGCUUUGACGGGUAGCCGGCCUGAGAGGGUGACCGGCCACAUUGGGACUGAGAGACGGCCCAGACGCGUACGGGAGGCAGCAGUGGGGAAUAUUGCACAAUGGGGGGAAGCCUGAUGCAGCAACGCCGCGUGCGGGAUGAAGGCCUUCGGGUUGUAAACCGCUUUCGCCUGUGACGAAGCGUGAGUGACGGUAAUGGGUAAAGAAGCACCGGCUAACUACGUG
Molecule: ribosomal RNA, 468 nt
Filed under: uncultured bacterium
Lineage: Bacteria
Description: partial 16S ribosomal RNA
Rfam family: Bacterial small subunit ribosomal RNA
Source: RNAcentral